RNAcentral lists this ribosomal RNA (426 nucleotides) under uncultured bacterium. Its description in RNAcentral is "bacterial SSU rRNA". It matches the Rfam family "Bacterial small subunit ribosomal RNA", at positions 30 to 459 of the family's 1533-position model. The record is from RNAcentral.
AUUGAACGCUGGCGGAAUGCUUUACACAUGCAAGUCGAACGGUAGAGGGGGCAACCCCUUGAGAGUGGCGAACGGGUGAGUAAUAUAUCGGAACGUGCCCAGUCGUGGGGAUAACGUAGCGAAAGUUACGCUAAUACCGCAUACGAUCUAAGGAUGAAAGCGGGGGAUCGCAAGACCUCGCGCGAUUGGAGCGGCCGAUAUCAGAUUAGGUAGUUGGUGAGGUAAAGGCUCACCAAGCCAACGAUCUGUAGCUGGUCUGAGAGGACGACCAGCCACACUGGAACUGAGACACGGUCCAGACUCCUACGGGAGGCAGCAGUGAGGAAUAUUGGUCAAUGGACGCAAGUCUGAACCAGCCAUGCCGCGUGCAGGAUGACGGUCCUAUGGAUUGUAAACUGACUUUUGUACGGAACGAAACGGUGAGCU